AUUGAACGCUGGCGGCAGGCCCAACACAUGCAAGUCGAACGGUAACAGGAAGCUGCUUGCUGCUUUGCUGACGAGUGGCGGACGGGUGAGUAAUGUCUGGGAAACUGCCUGUUGGAGGGGGUUAACUACUGGAAACGGUAGCUAAUACCGCAUAACGUCGCAAGACCAAAGAGGGGGACCUUCGGGCCCCUUGCCAUCGGAUGUGCCCAGAUGGGAUUAGCUAGUAGGUGGGGUAACGGCUCACCUAGGCGACGAUCCCUAGCUGGUCUGAGAGGCUGACCAGCCACACUGGAACUGAGACACGGUCCAGACUCCUACGGGAGGCAGCAGUGGUGAAUAUUGCACAAUGGGCGCAAGCCUGAUGCAGCCAUGCCGCGUGUAUGAAGAAGGCCUUCGGGUUGUAAAGUACUUUCAGCGGGGAGGAAGGGAGUAAAGUUAAUACCUUUGCUCAUUGACGUUACCCGCAGAAGAAGCACCGGCUAACUCCGUG
Molecule: ribosomal RNA, 490 nt
Filed under: uncultured bacterium
Lineage: Bacteria
Description: partial 16S ribosomal RNA
Rfam family: Bacterial small subunit ribosomal RNA
Source: RNAcentral